UGGGGAAUAUUGCACAAUGGGCGCAAGCCUGAUGCAGCCAUGCCGCGUGUGUGAAGAAGGCCUUCGGGUUGUAAAGCACUUUCAGCGAGGAGGAAGGUGGUGAGCUUAAUACGCUCAUCAAUUGACGUUACUCGCAGAAGAAGCACCGGCUAACUCCGUGCCAGCAGCCGCGGUAAUACGGAGGGUGCAAGCGUUAAUCGGAAUUACUGGGCGUAAAGCGCACGCAGGCGGUUUGUUAAGUCAGAUGUGAAAUCCCCGGGCUCAACCUGGGAACUGCAUUUGAAACUGGCAAGCUAGAGUCUCGUAGAGGGGGGUAGAAUUCCAGGUGUAGCGGUGAAAUGCGUAGAGAUCUGGAGGAAUACCGGUGGCGAAGGCGGCCCCCUGGACGAAGACUGACGCUCAGGUGCGAAAGCGUGGGGCAGCAAACAGGAUUAGAUACCCUGGUAGUCCACGCUGUAAACGAUGUCGAUUUUGGAGGUUGUGCCCCUUGAGGCGUGGCUUCCGGAGCUAACGCGUUAAAUCGACCGCCUGGGGAGUACGGCCGCAAGGUUAAAACUCAAAGG
This 563-nucleotide ribosomal RNA is filed under the name uncultured bacterium. RNAcentral describes it as "partial 16S ribosomal RNA". It matches the Rfam family "Bacterial small subunit ribosomal RNA", at positions 355 to 907 of the family's 1533-position model. The record is from RNAcentral.